UCCCCGAUAGCUCAGUUGGUAGAGCAAAUGACUGUUAAUCAUUGGGUCCCAGGUUCGAGUCCUGGUCGGGGAGCCA
RNAcentral lists this transfer RNA (76 nucleotides) under Pseudomonadales bacterium. Its description in RNAcentral is "tRNA-Asn". It matches the Rfam family "tRNA". Rfam says of the family: Transfer RNA (tRNA) molecules are approximately 80 nucleotides in length. Their secondary structure includes four short double-helical elements and three loops (D, anti-codon, and T loops). The record is from RNAcentral. Lineage: Bacteria; Pseudomonadati; Pseudomonadota; Gammaproteobacteria; Pseudomonadales. RNAcentral also lists the same sequence under 1 other name.